This 460-nucleotide ribosomal RNA is filed under the name uncultured bacterium. RNAcentral's name for it is "partial 16S ribosomal RNA". It matches the Rfam family "Bacterial small subunit ribosomal RNA", at positions 338 to 795 of the family's 1533-position model. The record is from RNAcentral.
CCUACGGGUGGCUGCAGUGAGGAAUAUUGGUCAAUGGACGAGAGUCUGAACCAGCCAAGUAGCGUGAAGGAUGACUGCCCUAUGGGUUGUAAACUUCUUUUAUAUGGGAAUAAAACGUUCCACGUGUGGGAUUUUGUAUGUACCAUAUGAAUAAGGAUCGGCUAACUCCGGGCCAGCAGCCGCGGUAAUACGGAGGAUCCGAGCGUUAUCCGGAUUUAUUGGGUUUAAAGGGAGCGUAGGUGGAUUGUUAAGUCAGUUGUGAAAGUUUGCGGCUCAACCGUAAAAUUGCAGUUGAAACCGGCAGUCUUGAGUACAGUAGAGGUGGGCGGAAUUCGUGGUGUAGCGGUGAAAUGCUUAGAUAUCACGAAGAACUCCGAUUGCGAAGGCAGUUCACUGGACUGCAACUGACACUGAGGCUCGAAAGUGUGGGUAUCAAACAGGAUUAGAUACCCCAGUAGUC